UUUGCAUGUGAUUUGCAUGUGAUUUGCAUGUAGGCCCAGAGAUUGCUGAAGGAUGCUGCUGCUAACAGGUAAGGAGAACACACAAAGGAGCAGUGACAUGGCUGGGAGUUCUGGAGUACACAGCCUUGAACCUGUAUCUCUGGGGAGAAACUGCAAUGGGAAUCACAAAAUUUCUUGGGGACCAUGAUGUAUCCACACACCUCUUCAUGAUCCUGGGACAACGGCAGCUAAAAUUCACCCUGGUUGGAAACCUAGUAAUCAUACCUUGCUUUGGAGGAGAAAAAUUUCUGUGGGGAAGGAAAUUGCUUUAUCGAUUCUACCUUGAAACCACAGAUACAGAGAUGAGCAUCCACAGCACCCAGAGGCCAGUGCCAGGCCCAGCUCAAGAGCAGGCAGAGUCAUCUUGGAAGACCUGGAAGAAAUAUUAAUGCUGCCCUUGAGAAUGGCUUGCUUUGUCAAGUAAAUCCUGUGGACAAGAUACUUUUUCCUCUUGGAGUGUACCAAGGGCUAUUCUCUGUGGCUGCAUAGGUACAGUCCAGCAAAUGACACAAGUAAGCACUGAUGCUGUAUCUUUGCUGUCAUCUCCAGUCAUGCUGUGUAUUUGUAAGCUU
Molecule: long non-coding RNA, 611 nt
Filed under: Cyanistes caeruleus (blue tit)
Lineage: Eukaryota; Metazoa; Chordata; Aves; Passeriformes; Paridae
Description: lncRNA (ENSCCEG00000008781.1)
Source: RNAcentral